This 432-nucleotide ribosomal RNA is filed under the name uncultured bacterium. RNAcentral's name for it is "bacterial SSU rRNA". It matches the Rfam family "Bacterial small subunit ribosomal RNA", at positions 958 to 1400 of the family's 1533-position model. The record is from RNAcentral.
AACGCGAAGAACCUUACCAAGGCUUGACAUCCCGAUCGUCGGCCUAGGAAACUAGGCUUUCAGUUCGGCUGGAUCGGUGACAGAUGCUGCAUGGCCGUCGUCAGCUCGUGUCGUGAGAUGUUGGGUUAAGUCCCGCAACGAGCGCAACCCUUGUCGUGUGUUGUAUUUUUCACGCGAGACCGCCCGGGCCAACCGGGAGGAAGGUGGGGAUGACGUCAGGUCUGCAUGGCUCUUACGCCUUGGGCCACACACGUGAUACAAUGGCCGGAACAACGGGUCGCGAAGCCGCGAGGCGAAGCUAAUCCCACCAAACCCGGUCCCAGUUCGGAUUGCAGGCUGCAACUCGCCUGCAUGAAGUUGGAAUUGCUAGUAACCGUGGGUCAGCACACCACGGUGAAUACGUUCCCGGGCCUUGUACACACCGCACUACUA